GAUGAACGCUGGCUACAGGCUUAACACAUGCAAGUCGAGGGGAAACGACGGGGAAGCUUGCUUCCCCGGGCGUCGACCGGCGCACGGGUGAGUAACGCGUAUCCAACCUGCCUCUGACUGAGGGAUAACCCGUCGAAAGUCGGCCUAAUACCUCAUGGCAUCGUCUGCGGGCAUCCAACGACGAUUAAAGAUUUCAUCGGUCAGGGAUGGGGAUGCGUCUGAUUAGCUAGUUGGCGGGGUAACGGCCCACCAAGGCGACGAUCAGUAGGGGUUCUGAGAGGAAGGUCCCCCACAUUGGAGCUGAGACACGGUCCAAACUGCUACGGGAGGCAGCAGUGAGGAAUAUUGGUCGAUGGGCGAGAGCCUGAACCAGCCAAGUAGCGUGCAGGAUGACGGCCCUAUGGGUGGUAAACUGCUUUUAUGCGGGGAUAAAGUGAGGGACGUGUCCUUCAUUGCAGGUACCGCAUGAAUAAGGACCGGCUAAUUCCGUG
This 491-nucleotide ribosomal RNA is filed under the name uncultured bacterium. RNAcentral describes it as "partial 16S ribosomal RNA". It matches the Rfam family "Bacterial small subunit ribosomal RNA", at positions 28 to 507 of the family's 1533-position model. The record is from RNAcentral.